This 447-nucleotide ribosomal RNA is filed under the name uncultured bacterium. RNAcentral describes it as "bacterial SSU rRNA". It matches the Rfam family "Bacterial small subunit ribosomal RNA", at positions 355 to 825 of the family's 1533-position model. The record is from RNAcentral.
UGGGGAAUAUUGGACAAUGGGCGAAAGCCUGAUCCAGCCAUGCCGCGUGAGUGACAAAGGCCUUAGGGUUGUAAAGCUCUUUUACCAGGGACGAUAAUGACGGUACCUGGAGAAUAAGCCCCGGCAAACUUCGUGCCAGCAGCCGCGGUAAUACGAAGGGGGCUAGCGUUGUUCGGAAUUACUGGGCGUAAAGCGCACGUAGGCGGAUUGUUAAGUCAGAGGUGAAAUCCCGGAGCUCAACUUCGGAACUGCCUUUGAUACUGGCAAUCUAGAGUCCGGAAGAGGUUAGUGGAAUUCCCAGUGUAGAGGUGAAAUUCGUAGAUAUUGGGAAGAACACCAGUGGCGAAGGCGGCUAACUGGUCCGGUACUGACGCUGAGGUGCGAAAGCGUGGGGAGCAAACAGGAUUAGAUACCCGUGUAGUCCCUGAGCGGGCUGGCAAGGCGCAU